RNAcentral lists this ribosomal RNA (253 nucleotides) under uncultured bacterium. RNAcentral's name for it is "partial 16S ribosomal RNA". It matches the Rfam family "Bacterial small subunit ribosomal RNA", at positions 524 to 776 of the family's 1533-position model. The record is from RNAcentral.
UACGAAGGUCCCAAGCGUUAUCCGGAUUUACUGGGUUUAAAGGGUGCGUAGGUGGGUAAGUAAGUCAGUGGUGAAAUCUUCGAGCUUAACUCGGAAACUGCCAUUGAUACUAUUUAUCUUGAAUACUUUGGAGGUAAGCGGAAUAUGUCAUGUAGCGGUGAAAUGCUUAGAUAUGACAUAGAACACCAAUUGCGAAGGCAGCUUACUACACAGUUAUUGACACUGAGGCACGAAAGCGUGGGGAUCAAACAGG